Molecule: ribosomal RNA, 406 nt
Filed under: uncultured bacterium
Lineage: Bacteria
Description: partial 16S ribosomal RNA
Rfam family: Bacterial small subunit ribosomal RNA
Source: RNAcentral
AUUGAACGCUGGCGGCAGGCCUAACACAUGCAAGUCGAGCGAGCGGCGGGCGGUUGAGUAAUGUCUGGGAAAAUGCCUGUUGGCUGGGGAUAACUACUGGAUACGGUAGGUAAUCACGCGUACAAUCAGAUGUCGCCAGUUGGGAAUAGCUAGUGGGGGGGGGAAUGGCUUAACGAGGCGACGAUCCCUAGCUGGUCUGAGAGGAUGACCAGCCACACUGGAACUGAGACACGGUCCAGACUCCUACGGGAGGCAGCAGUGGGGAAUAUUGCACAAUGGGCGCAAGCCUGAUGCAGCCAUGCCGCGUGUAUGAAGAAGGCCUUCGGGUUGUAAAGUACUUUCAGCGAGGAGGCGUUACUCGCAGAAGAAGCACCGGCUAACUCCGUGCCAGCAGCCGCGGUAAUUC